CAGUCGCCGCGGGAAUACGUAGGUGGCAAGCGUUGUCCGGAAUUAUUGGGCGUAAAGGGCUCGCAGGCGGUUUCUUAAGUCUGAUGUGAAAGCCCCCGGCUCAACCGGGGAGGGUCAUUGGAAACUGGGAAACUUGAGUGCAGAAGAGGAGAGUGGAAUUCCACGUGUAGCGGUGAAAUGCGUAGAGAUGUGGAGGAACACCAGUGGCGAAGGCGAUUCUCUGGUCUGUAACUGACGCUGAGGAGCGAAAGCGUGGGGAGCGAACAGGAUUAGAUACCCGGGUAGUCCCUGUCUCUUAUAC
Molecule: ribosomal RNA, 301 nt
Filed under: uncultured bacterium
Lineage: Bacteria
Description: partial 16S ribosomal RNA
Rfam family: Bacterial small subunit ribosomal RNA
Source: RNAcentral